Long non-coding RNA from Drosophila miranda, 6841 nucleotides. RefSeq lists it as uncharacterized. The transcript is spliced from 5 exons. NCBI's taxonomy places the organism in Eukaryota, Metazoa, Arthropoda, Insecta, Diptera, Drosophilidae. The record is from RefSeq and is a predicted model, not a curated record.
GUGUAUAGUAGGUAGAGACGACUAUCGUCUGUGGCAUUACCAUAGAGCUGGUCAGUUUUCAAUUGCGUUCGUUCUGGAUUGUGAUUAAGACUGAGACAACAAGUUAGAUAUUUGUAUUCCUAUUAGAAAUGCCAAGUGAAGUCGUCUGAUACUGCACAGACUUGAGUGUAAUGGCCCGCCUUUAAGCAUUAUUCUUUAAUAUUAUCUCUGGCCUGAAGUAUUAGUGCUUGUUUUCUAUCUUAUCGCAGCUGUAAAACGUUCGUCUCAAAGUUCAUAUUUUGACUACUUGCAUAUACGAGUAUGUAUGUGUUUUAUUGGACGGUGAGACCCAAUGGACAAAGACUACGACAGCUUAUACAUAUGUACAUCGCUCAAAAUGCAAUUGAAUUCGCGACCCUUUGGCCACUUCAAGCUUCAGUUCAGCUGGGAAUACUCCUUCCACACCUCCAUCUAUUGCAGAUGAAACAUCUGAUUGACCGCUUGAGGGGCGUAGCGGCGGUAGAUAGACAGCGGCUUGUGCCUGGGGGCCGACCGACACGCAACGCGAGCCUCCUUCGCAGCCUCCUGCGGAAUAUCUUCAGUGAGUUCCGUCAUCGUUACUUACUCGGAAAUUGCUCCAAGGAAAUCAGGAGUUCUUGCAACGGAUGCUGUGCAUCAGGAAGUGACAGUUCCUCCGGCAGCAGUUUGCGUACCUUUUCCUUUACAACUUUCUGCUUACCUGAGAGCUUCCCAAUUCUUCGCAACAAAGGUCAGCUUCCAUGUCAGUGAUGCAUGGUCGGCUUUCCAAGACACCAUAUCGCUUUCGGUCAGGCUGGUGCUGCCCUUGCUAAUACUGUAAUCAUCAUGACACUUUCCUUGCAGUAGUUUCCGGUCGGGCCCUUCUCUAAGAUACUUGUACGUAUAAUUGCGUGGCUUCAGGAAGAUUCUAUUGCUAAAGAAUAGAACUACCUGCCAUGUCGUAUAGUGCAUUCAAGUUAUUUGCCUUUGCCUUCACCUUCUCCACAAGUGUCGAGUCUCUAUAUUUUAUUUAUAGAUAAACGAAAUGUAUAUGCAAGGCGGCGCAUCAUUUCUUAAGUAUUUUGGUUGCCGAAAACGUCCGACAACUUUAAGAAAAUCGGCAACAAGGCUACCGGGAUGGAAGGGAUUAACAAUAGGGACAAGAAACGCUCGUCAUCAAGAAGGUCUUCAAACCAGGCUAUUGCUUCACCACCGGUCCCCAAGGUGCAGGAGUCGCAAGAGUGUCGAGUCGCUCAAGGUGGGUGCUGAAGUGAUGAACACACUAGCUGGCAUGUCAACAACGGGAGUGCCUUCUGCCUAUGCGGGCUGAAAUAAUUAAAUAAUAAUUAGAACCUGCGAACUUCCUCCAGAGCGAUUUUAACAUACCAGUUUUCUUUAGAAGAAGUUGAAUGUGCCACAUUUAUAUAGAAGAAAUUGAUAUCUUAGGCUUGGGUUUAAAGAAAAAAGAUAAUAACAAAUCUAUGCCGCGAAUUUCGGGUGCUGUCAACUGAUUGCUGAUUGUGCCAUUCACACAAAACCCUUCAAUUCUAAUUGCUGCCUUGGCAAUGUGAAGAAGUUAUAAACAAAUUAGCUGUGGAAGUGAUUAUAAAAAAGCGUUGGACGAGCUGCCAACUUGUGCUUUUAAUACUACUAAAAGGCCAUUCACACAAAACCCUUCAAUUCUAAUUGCUGCCUUGGCAAUGUGAAGAAGUAAUAAACAAAUUAGCUGUGGAAGUGAUUAUAAAAAAGCGUUGAAAAACACGCGUCUCAGCACUGGUAAUUUGUUGCAAAAACUGCUUCACUUGCCCAAAACGCAUUUUCCAAUUAAACAUACCGGCUCUGCAAAACUUUGAAUCGAUAAGGAUGGAAAAAAGACAAACAUUGCCCCGCAGAAGCCUUGAACAUUUAAGUUACCAGGAAUUUUUUUGUCUGUUGCGAACAAGAAUUCAGUGAAGAACUCAUUCUACAAAAUAAAACACUUCUACGGCAAUAACCAAAACAUCGAAUAGUAAGAUCUCCGUUCAGGCAACACCUGCAGAAGGCAAAGAAAUGCGUUCGAUGACCGCCACCUUUCACAGCUCCUAAAAAGUAUUCUAAAAGAAUUAAAUACUGUGGCCUAAAGGUCUUUUCCUCAGACAGUGUACAAAUUCUACUUGUCCCCUGGAAUUCCUUACGUGCCAAUGCCAUUGACCAGGAUGGCCAUGACAGCAGUAGAGAAUACAAACCAUCGCUACGCGGUAAUCUUUCGAGAUCUCCAGACUCUGUUCUUGCUGUCGUUGCAUUUGCAGAAUAGUAGACAUGGACUCGUUGUCGCGCUAUCCGAGAUGGUGGUGCAGGGCCCUGUACGAUGGAGAACUAGGAUUUAGUGAUGACGCCUAUGGGGAUAAUAAGCAUAUAUCACGCAGGCCAGUAUUUGUAGAUGAGAACUUCAUUCGACCAGUUCCUGAAAUGUUUUGCCGACCCGUUGGUGGCCUGCGAGAAUAUCGGAUUCUAUAUGGUUUGCAGCCUCAACGAGCAGACCUCUAUCGUAUUGAAAAAGCUCUUCCUAACGUCGCACAAUACUUUUUAUUGGACCUGAAAGAUGCAGUAUGUUUAUACAAAUUGAGUAAAUGGUCAACUUGGAAUGCUCAUUUCUCUUAAAAUAGACAUCCGAUAUUCUCGAAGUUUCCAUUUUUGGAAGUUCUGGAAAGUUCUCUACCAGAUGCGUAUAUAUAAAGUAUCCAAAGUUCCCCUUUUUUUGGAUCUUCAGUCCCUGUACUUCCAGCGCUCUUUGGCCCGGCCCCGGACACCCAUUGGUUCUGUCACUGUGCUCUCGAUCCGAACGAUGUCGGCUGUCGCGGUCAUAACUAUGGUUUUUUUAACAUCAACCAUUACGAAAUAAUGUCAUUUGAAAAGAUAUAAUCAUACACAAUUUUAACACUGUCCUCGACUAAAAUUCGCACUUCAUUAUAGCUAUGGCUAACUUCAGACGACGAAAAUUCCAUCGUCGAUGAAAUUCAUCCUUAACAGCUUCGAGCUUUUAUACAAGUCCUUGAUUUUGUCUAAAUUUAAAUUUUAGAGAUAUGUGUGAUAGUACUAGAAUUGUGAUUGCGAUUUUUACAUUACUGUUUUCCUGCUAUGGACAUCCAUAUGUCCUUCAAAUAGACAAUCAAUAAUUUUACAAAGUUUGAAUAACCCCGUCAGGUUUAAUUUACGUACAUACAUAAAUGUAAGACUGUAUACAUGGCCAUUGGCCAAGCUGUUUAUUUCAAUACGUUUUUGAUCUACAGUUAUUUUUGUUCUGUUUUGGCCGGUUUCUAUACAGUAUAUCUGUACUACAACCAGACCUCCGAUGCCAAUUGGUUCAAGGUGAUCUUCGCUAUCCCAGUGCUAAGCAUAGUGUCAUACUCAAUGUGAAUUCGAUCAGGUCUCAGUCGCAGUUCCACGUAAAAGUCGUAAACCGAGUCAAAGCCAUGGGAAAUGGCAACUGGAGGUGCAAUGCUCAGUUCUGGGUGUUCUUCCCAGAAUUCUUCAUCGUAGCUCCGAUGCCAAUUAGUCCAAGGUGAUCAUUGUUAGUAAGCAUAGAGUCGUACUCGAUCUGAAUUCGAUCCAUGCUGAUUAAUGAAAAGCGGUUGACACGAAAUCUGCCAAAGCUUUGGAAAAUAAAGCAGGCUGGAGCUUCUGAUUUCCUUCGCGAUGCAAUGAAUGUGAAGGUUGAUUUUCAUUCACCUUGAGGAAAGAAGUGCCCCAACGGCUUCUCCAAAAGCUAAAUGAAAUGGGAAACUUUUCCUCGAGACUUCGUGGUAUAUGAUCAGUCCAUGGAGAAUAUUAUGGAAACAAACUGGCGGACAAGAACUUACCCACUCCCGGGUCAAGUCGCAGCAGCAUAGUAAAACCAUUGGGUAAAAAUAUUCGAAAAAACCAAUUGAAUGGCGAAUAGCCAAAUUACCAAAAGCCAUAGUGAUUACUGGACAAAAAACCAACGAAGACCGUGGAAUAGCUAGGUCGGGCUGAACCGAACCCGUACCGGUCCAGGUCAAGGUCGAGUUGGACUGAGGCUUGAAACUCGGGUGUGGGCCAAAGGCAGCACGUCGACGUCAGUGCAGAGUGGGCAAUGCCCCAGCCCGAAAAAACGAUCCAAGUGUAUAUACAAGGCAGUCCCUGUCGUGGUUACCCCAACGGAUUGCGCACUCGGACGUGCCCGCCUAGCCGACAGGUGAGGGCCCUAUCCAUAUCCAUCAGCAGACAACCGGCUGUGGGUGGAUCACCCUUAAGUAGAUUAGAUCACCCUGAACCGCUUGCUAAACCUCAAGUUUUGGCAUAAUUGAAUGCAGCUGCCAGAACUUGGCCAAUCUGAUUGCCAAAUAAUACAACUGUCAGCAGAGCUCGCCCAACCUUGGCAUGCGAGCACAAGUGCUGAGGACGGCACAAUCCAAAAACAAGCCGAAAAAUGCAAACUCAUGAUACACUCUCUGGUUUGACCUCAUCCCACCGAUCUGAAACUGUUUGCGAUCAGUUCUUAGAUCACCUCUGCUUGAAGGCCGGGCCAGAACCUGUUCAGACAUAGCAGAUUCUGGCUCGGCCCUUACAUGGCAGUGGGGGUGGGAGCGGGGAGAGUUAGGGAACAGCACACAAGCCGGAGUCCAGAAACAGAAUUUCGCAUAAUCAAGAGGUUCCGAAGAAUCUGCCGUGUCAUUGUUUGUGGACAAAUAUUGACCGAGUUGUUGCUUAAAAUGUGUGCUAACUCGUUUACAUAUCUAUUUUUCAAGUCUCUGGACUGGACUUUGGUAAAAAAUAUUCGCUCGAAGAAGUGCCCUAACCAUCUGUUGACGCCUGCAGAACUAUCCCUUAACAAAGGUCGUUUUUUCCUCAAAAUACUUUUUCCAGUGCCCCAUUAUGGGACUCAUAGAAGUAGAUUGCCUUUGCACUAAAAACGGUUCAUUGCAUUCAAUUUGGUCCGUCCAAGAUGGUGGUGGUGAGCACAGGAAGGUAAACAUGAUAGCGAUACUUAAAUAACUAUGUACAUACAUAUGUGCAUUUGUUCGAGUACAUGCAUUGAUGGUGAUGAUGAUAUAUACGUAAAUAGAACUAAGUAUCACCGUAUAUAAAGUACAUAUACUUCUUGCGGCCAUUAUGACAAUGAACACUUAAACAGACAGCUAUUGUACAUACAUAUGUAUAUCUAAAUCUGCUCUUUAAAGCUGAGCUUGAGAUGGUGAUUUGCUUAAAUUCAAAUUUCUACCUUUUAAAUAGAACCAAUUUUUAUAAACACCAUUAAAGAAAUGUGUCAAUGACUUGAGUCAACUUUUGCUAGCCAGACAAAGCACAAAUACACAGACGGACAGAUCGCAUAGACCUAAUCGGAAUGACUCUACACUACCGUACAUCAGAUACGCACACAAACGCAUCUUUUGUUGAAAUAUUUUAAUUUGUUUUCAAUUCAUUUGCAUUCGAUUUUAUCAGAGAACUAAAUUUCGAACUAACUAAGAUGAACACUCAUUUGGAAAGGUUUACAAAUAUUUUCUCACUUGUUUUGGCUCUCGGAAGGAGUAGUAGGCACUAAUACAGGUCCUUUGUGGCAUUUCGCUCGCUUUAAAACACCGUUAUCAUCGAUUACUGUUUUAUUUCUGGAUCAAAUUCAUAUAUCCAUGAUUCGUUGCCUGUGUAGAUCUUAUACUCAGCUUUUGAAGCGUAUACAACCGUAUUUUUGGAUAAUUUCCUUAAACCAAUCGACACGAGUGCCUUUUUUGACCGAUUUUCAAAUUGUGUAGGAUCCAACGCAAAAACACACCGUUUUUACCCGAGGCGAUCAUGGAAAAUCUUACUGAUGGACGUCAUACUAAUGCCCAAGGAUGCCUCAAUCUUCCGGUAUCUUCCACAAUAUUUUUUGGCACAACAACUGGUUUAAGACGACCUUCCCGGAAUUUGUCCUGCAACGAAGGACGUCCACGAUUUAAUGCGUUGCAAUAAAAAUUAAACUAAGCUUGUCUAAGAGUUCUUGGCUUAAGAAUCCGCAUCAAAUACAGUAGAAAAUCGUGACACGGACAUUUUCAUGUGGUAAUUUUCGCUUUUUCCCGAAAUGAACUUUUAUUUUGUCAUUUAUCAUUAAAUUCAUUUAAUUUAUCGUUAAACGAUAUCAAAUGCGACCUCUACAAGAGAAAGGUUUAUGUAGGCUUAUCACAGGAAAAAUGGUUAAACACACUUAAUCCCGCCGGGGUCAUCUUUUGGUUUUACAUUGGAAAAUGCAUCGGAAAGCGCCACAUUCUUAGAUAUAAUGUUUCAAUGUGCCAUUUCCCGCUUUUUUAACCAACAAAAUGAAAGCUGCAUGUUUGCGAUAUAGGUAUAUGUACACUAAAACCUGGAAACUAAAUAAAGUUAAAUAAUACGACAAUAAACUUAUCCAAAACUCAAAAAAGGAAUGCAAAAACUUCAGAAAAGUAGACAUUCAUAGAUUUUAUGUAACUCAAGAACUUAAAGAAGUCUUACUAUAAGAUGAAGCUACGAAAACGCAAAUGAUGAAUCAAUCUACCAAAAAUUGUAUUGAUAAUUCAGAAAUCGAAAAUUCAACAUAUGUAUUGGUGGAGGCGAUGUGGCUCCUUUUACAAGAAAAGAAUUGGCGGUGAGUUCGACAUGGUGUGAGACGAUUUUUAAGCCCAGUAUUCAACAGUCACAGUCACUUUUUAACAGUUCAGUCUGUUAAAGUAAAUAAAAGGCUGUAUAAUUUUUCGAGUGUUCAUAAGAUACAUAAGAAAUGUUGGACAUAAGAAAUUUCGAUGGCUACUGACCAAGAAUUUAAGUACAUAUAUGUAUAUUCAAGAAAAAAGUUUUCCUUCUGCCGUAAACUUAACUUAAGAUUUAAAAAAGU